UCUUCAUUCCGCACGCUCUCUCGUCAAUAGAGCAGGCGAGAAAGUGUGCGAAAUGAAGAGA
This 61-nucleotide microRNA precursor is filed under the name Pristionchus pacificus. RNAcentral's name for it is "mir-8364 microRNA precursor family". It matches the Rfam family "mir-8364 microRNA precursor family". The record is from Rfam by way of RNAcentral. Lineage: Eukaryota; Metazoa; Nematoda; Chromadorea; Rhabditida; Neodiplogasteridae.